This is a long non-coding RNA of Apodemus sylvaticus (European woodmouse), 310 nucleotides long. RefSeq lists it as uncharacterized. The record is from RefSeq and is a predicted model, not a curated record. Lineage: Eukaryota; Metazoa; Chordata; Mammalia; Rodentia; Muridae. The transcript is spliced from 3 exons.
CGCCAUGUAGGACUCCUUAAAACUGGCCUAAAAGGAAACGGAUCACCUGCUGACAGCCACUAGCAUUCACGCUCAUAGCCCAGGCCACAGGUCACCUGCUGACAGCCACUAGUACUAAUGUUUAUGGCCCAGGUCACAGGUCACAUGCUGAGAGCCACCAGCACUAAUGUUCAUAACCAGGUCACAGGUCACCUGCUGCCAGUCACUAGCCCUGAUGCUCAUGGCCCAGAUCUGAAAGCUUCAACACAUGACAGGUGCGGCGAUUCCCGAUCGCGUGGGUGAACGCAUGCAGCCCCACCCAGAGACUUCA